CCCUUAGAUGUUCUGGGCCGCACACGCGCUACACUGAAGGAGGCAGCGUGUACUCCUGGAUCGAAAGAUUUGGGUAACCCGCGAAUCUCCUUCGUGCUAGGGAUUGAGGUUUGCAAUUAUCCUUCAUGAACGAGGAAUUCCCAGUAAGUGCAAGUCAUAAGCUUGCGCUGACUACGUCCCUGCCCUUUGUACACACCGCCCGUCGCUACUACCGAUUGAAUGAUUUAGUGAGGACUUCGGACUGGGACCGAUGCGGCUUUCGGGCUGCGUCGGUAUUCUGGAAAGAUGUCCAAACUGUAUCAUUUAGAGGAAGUAAAANCCGUAACA
RNAcentral lists this ribosomal RNA (327 nucleotides) under uncultured eukaryote. Its description in RNAcentral is "partial 18S ribosomal RNA". It matches the Rfam family "Eukaryotic small subunit ribosomal RNA", at positions 1470 to 1796 of the family's 1831-position model. The record is from RNAcentral.